Molecule: long non-coding RNA, 1572 nt
Organism: Bombyx mori (domestic silkworm)
Lineage: Eukaryota; Metazoa; Arthropoda; Insecta; Lepidoptera; Bombycidae
Exons: 2
Source: RefSeq, a predicted model, not a curated record
GUCAACUAAUUAGGGACAAUCUCUAGUUAAGCCAAAUUGUGAAUUUUUUUUUUAUUUUCCAACGAGUCUUAGCAAUAUUCCAUAUCUUUUACAUGUAAGUGUAAUUAGUCAUUUAUGUGCGCGAUUAUACAAAGAAUAACAACUUCUUAAGCAUUAAACCUCUUUACAGUAUAGCUGAUACAAUAUCAUAGUGCUAUUGGUUCAAAGAGUGCUGGCUGGCCAUUUAAUUAGGGACACUGAGGUAUUGCGUUCUAAUUUCAAAAUUGGAAUUUUAAUACUUUUUUGUUUCUUUUCUUAUUGUUUAGUGGUCGUUUUGGUGGCAAUCCAGAUUUUUUAUUUUAAGUUUUGAGAAUUAUUUUGAAGAAAAAUGGGCAAAAAUAAAAGUUGCGAUCCAACACUACGAAAAAUUAUCAUGAAGUUUGUCGAGCGUGGUUGGUCAUACCGAAGGAUAGCACAACAUUUAAAUUGUUCAAAAACUAUGGUAUGCAAUGCAGUGCAACAUUUCAAGCGCUAUAACACAGCUUUAAAUGUGUCCAGAACAAAAAGAUCGAUAAAAACGACUCCGCAAGAAGAUAGAAUGAUAACCAGGUUAGCUAAGAAAGAUCCGUUUCUAGGCUCUAUUUUAAUUAAACACGAAGUGUUUGGGGCAAGCGAAAGAGCCGGUGUAUCUGCGAGGACCGUUCGACGAUGUUUGAUAGAAGCAGGGUUGUUCGGAAGAGUGGCUCGCAAAGUACCGAUGUUGAAGAAAGAACAUAGAAAUGCUCGUUUGGCAUUUGCACGUAAAUAUUGACAUUGGACCUACGCCCAAUGGCAACAUGUACUUUUCUCUGACGAGACCAAGGUUAAUUUGAUUUCUUCAGAUGGAAGGCAAUAUGUACGGCGUCCUGUAAAAGCGGAAAUGAAUUCAAGAUUCACAAAAAAACAAGUGAAACAUGGCGGUGGAAACAUUAAAAUAUGGGGUUCACUUUCUGGACGUGGAGUGGGACCUGUGAGGAAAGUUCAGGGUAACUUAGACCAACAUCAAUACAAGGCAAUAUUGGAAGAAACUAUGCUUCCCUAUGCUGAGGAGCAUCUCCCUAUUAUAUGGACGUUUCAGCAGGAUAACGACCCGAAACAUACCGCCCAAUAAGUCAAGUCGUUUCUUACCAGUUAGUUUGUAUCGGUGAUAGAUUGGCCAGCAAAUAGCCGGACCUCAACCCAAUUGAGCACCUUUGGCACGAAAUCAAGAAAAAAGUUGCCACUUAUCGUAAUACAAAUUUGGAUGAACUUCAUGAAGCUUUUUGUGAGGCAUGGGCAAACAUUCCUGUCGAAACAUGUCAGAAACUGAUAAUGUCUAUGCCACAUCGGUGUCAAGCGGUAAUUACUAACAAAGGUUUUGCUACUGGGUACUGAUUUUACACGUAAUAAAAUGGAGCUGUUAAAAAUAUUAUAACACUGAAGAUUAUAAGUUUUGUGUAACUGUAUUUUUCAUUAUACUUUACUGUCCUUAAUUAAAUGUCCACUACAGAAUUGUACCUUAAUAUUUAAUACAUGUUUAAUCUUUAAUAUUAAAUACUAUUUCUAUUUAUUAAA